AUGAAUUAAAGAUCUUGACAUUUUUGUGAAUUGUAGGUCUGAUUUAAUUCAACUUUUUUAAUGGAUUAAUUUUUGUGGGUACUGAUGAGUUAGAGAUGUGGAGUUGUAAUUGGUAAACAAAAGAUGUCCAUAGGUUGCUGCUAUGUUGCCAAUGUGAAGUUUUAGAAUUGUCCUUGAGUUGAGGAGGCAAUGGUGCUGGAGUGGGCAAGAGAUGAACAGUGAAUGAAGGUACAGAAAAUUUAGGGAUUUUUUUAAUUUUAGGAAAAAAUAAUCCCAUUCCACAAUGACUACCAAACAUCAAAUUUCACCAAAAGGAAUCAACACAAACUCAUUAUCAUUGAAGGGGUCUUUCAUAGUGAUUAUCAUUUCUAUUCCUUAG
Molecule: long non-coding RNA, 379 nt
Filed under: Coffea arabica (coffee)
Lineage: Eukaryota; Viridiplantae; Streptophyta; Magnoliopsida; Gentianales; Rubiaceae
Description: long non-coding RNA (CARA_LNC004240)
Source: RNAcentral